CGGGCAAUAGCUCAACGGUGGAGCUUUCGCCUCAUAUGCGAAAAAGACCCGGGUUCGAAUCUCGGCUGCUUUG
Molecule: transfer RNA, 73 nt
Filed under: Toxocara canis (dog roundworm)
Lineage: Eukaryota; Metazoa; Nematoda; Chromadorea; Rhabditida; Toxocaridae
Rfam family: tRNA
About the family: Transfer RNA (tRNA) molecules are approximately 80 nucleotides in length. Their secondary structure includes four short double-helical elements and three loops (D, anti-codon, and T loops).
Source: Rfam by way of RNAcentral